RNAcentral lists this ribosomal RNA (274 nucleotides) under uncultured bacterium. RNAcentral's name for it is "partial 16S ribosomal RNA". It matches the Rfam family "Bacterial small subunit ribosomal RNA", at positions 523 to 796 of the family's 1533-position model. The record is from RNAcentral.
AUACGGAGGGUGCAAGCGUUAAUCGGAAUUACUGGGCGUAAAGCGUACGUAGGCGGUUCGUUAAGUUAGAUGUGAAAGCCCCGGGCUUAACCUGGGAACUGCAUUUAAAACUGGCGGACUAGAGGUGAGUAGAGGGGAGUGGAAUUUCAGGUGUAGCGGUGAAAUGCGUAGAGAUCUGAAGGAACACCAGUGGCGAAGGCGACUCCCUGGACUCGAACUGACGCUGAGGUACGAAAGCGUGGGUAGCAAACGGGAUUAGAAGCCCUAGUAGUCC